This 118-nucleotide ribosomal RNA is filed under the name Lepisosteus oculatus (spotted gar). The record is from RNAcentral. Lineage: Eukaryota; Metazoa; Chordata; Actinopteri; Semionotiformes; Lepisosteidae.
GCCAGCAGCCUUAUCACCCUGUAACUCACAACUGGCAACCCACUGGAGCUCAGCAGGUGUGAGCCUGGUCAUUACUGGAUGGGAGACCUCCUGGGAAAAACUAAGGUUGCUGCUGGAA